Tachysurus vachellii is the source of this 209-nucleotide long non-coding RNA. RefSeq lists it as uncharacterized. The record is from RefSeq and is a predicted model, not a curated record. NCBI's taxonomy places the organism in Eukaryota, Metazoa, Chordata, Actinopteri, Siluriformes, Bagridae. The transcript is spliced from 3 exons.
GGCAGCGGUACAAGACUGGCUGCAGUAUAUCAAGACAACAUCAGAAAAUGCAAGGCUGAACCGAUGGCAGAAGUGGAUCAAUCAGAAAACCAUGGCGGAUUUUACUGUCAAGGUCCAUGGUGCUAAAUAAAUCAACACAGACCUACAUAAAAACAACACAGAGCUAAGGACUUUGUAGGCUAAGUAAGUUGUCCUAGCCACAUAAAGUG